CGUGAGAAUCUGCCUAGAGGAUGGGGACAACCACGGGAAACUGUGGCUAAUACCCAAUGAGCGGAGACGUUAAAGAUUUAUCGCCUCUAGAGGAGCUCGCGUCUGAUUAGCUAGUUGGUGGGGUAAAAGCCUACCAAGGCGACGAUCAGUAGCUGGUCUGAGAGGACAACCAGCCACACUGGGACUGAGACACGGCCCAGACUCCUACGGGAGGCAGCAGUGGGGAAUUUUCCGCAAUGGGCGAAAGCCUGACGGAGCAAUACCGCGUGAGGGAGGAAGGCUCUUGGGUCGUAAACCUCUUUUCUCAGGGAAGAAGAAAGUGACGGUACCUGAGGAAUCAGCCUCGGCUAACUCCGUGCCAGCAGCCGCGGUAAUACGGAGGAGGCAAGCGUUAUCCGGAAUUAUUGGGCGUAAAGCGUCCGUAGGUGGCUCUUCAAGUCUGCUGUCAAAGAGUGGGGCUUAACUCCAGAAAGGCAGUGGAAACUGAAAGGCUAGAGAGCCGUAGGGGUAGAGGGAAUUCCCGGUGUAGCGGUGAAAUGCGUAGAGAUCGGGAAGAACAUCGGUGGCGAAAGCGCUCUACUGGACGGUAUCUGACACUGAGGGACGAAAGCUAGGGGAGCGAAUGGGAUUAGAUACCCCAGUAGUCCUAGCCGUA
Molecule: ribosomal RNA, 655 nt
Filed under: uncultured cyanobacterium
Lineage: Bacteria; Bacillati; Cyanobacteriota
Description: bacterial SSU rRNA
Rfam family: Bacterial small subunit ribosomal RNA
Source: RNAcentral